CUACGGGGGGCAGCAGUGGGGAAUAUUGGACAAUGGGGGAAACCCUGAUCCAGCAAUGCCGCGUGUGUGAAGAAGGCCUGCGGGUUGUAAAGCACUUUCGGUUGGGAGGACUGCUUCUAGCACUAAUAUUGUUGGAAGUUGACGUUACCUUCAGAAGAAGCACCGGCUAACUCCGUGCCAGCAGCCGCGGUAAUACGGGAGGGCGCAAGCGUUAAUCGGAAUUACUGGGCGUAAAGCGCGCGUAGGCGGCUAGAUCAGUCGGGUGUGAAAGCCCCGGGCUUAACCUGGGAACUGCAUCCGAUACUGUCUAGCUUGAGUACAGGAGAGGAGAGUGGAAUUCCACAUGUAGCGGUGAAAUGCGUAGAUAUGUGGAGGAACACCAAUGGCGAAGGCAGCUCUCUGGCCUGAUACUGACGCUGAGGUGCGAAAGCGUGGGGAGCAAACAGGAUUAGAUACCCGUGUAGUC
This 466-nucleotide ribosomal RNA is filed under the name uncultured bacterium. Its description in RNAcentral is "partial 16S ribosomal RNA". It matches the Rfam family "Bacterial small subunit ribosomal RNA", at positions 339 to 795 of the family's 1533-position model. The record is from RNAcentral.